RNAcentral lists this ribosomal RNA (1911 nucleotides) under Salmonella enterica. RNAcentral's name for it is "partial 23S ribosomal RNA". It matches the Rfam family "Bacterial large subunit ribosomal RNA", at positions 912 to 2803 of the family's 2925-position model. Lineage: Bacteria; Pseudomonadati; Pseudomonadota; Gammaproteobacteria; Enterobacterales; Enterobacteriaceae. The record is from RNAcentral.
GUUUCGGCUAGGGGGCCAUCCCGGCUUACCAACCCGAUGCAAACUGCGAAUACCGGAGAAUGUUAUCACGGGAGACACACGGCGGGUGCUAACGUCCGUCGUGAAGAGGGAAACAACCCAGACCGCCAGCUAAGGUCCCAAAGUCAUGGUUAAGUGGGAAACGAUGUGGGAAGGCCCAGACAGCCAGGAUGUUGGCUUAGAAGCAGCCAUCAUUUAAAGAAAGCGUAAUAGCUCACUGGUCGAGUCGGCCUGCGCGGAAGAUGUAACGGGGCUAAACCAUGCACCGAAGCUGCGGCAGCGACGCUGAUGCGUUGUUGGGUAGGGGAGCGUUCUGUAAGCCUGCGAAGGUGGCCUGUGAGGGUUGCUGGAGGUAUCAGAAGUGCGAAUGCUGACAUAAGUAACGAUAAAGCGGGUGAAAAGCCCGCUCGCCGGAAGACCAAGGGUUCCUGUCCAACGUUAAUCGGGGCAGGGUGAGUCGACCCCUAAGGCGAGGCCGAAAGGCGUAGUCGAUGGGAAACGGGUUAAUAUUCCCGUACUUGGUGUUACUGCGAAGGGGGGACGGAGAAGGCUAUGUUGGCCGGGCGACGGUUGUCCCGGUUUAAGCGUGUAGGUGUGUGUUCCAGGUAAAUCCGGUUCACUUUAACACUGAGGCGUGACGACGAGGCACUACGGUGCUGAAGCAACAAAUGCCCUGCUUCCAGGAAAAGCCUCUAAGCAUCAGGUAACAUCAAAUCGUACCCCAAACCGACACAGGUGGUCAGGUAGAGAAUACCAAGGCGCUUGAGAGAACUCGGGUGAAGGAACUAGGCAAAAUGGUGCCGUAACUUCGGGAGAAGGCACGCUGACACGUAGGUGAAGUGAUUUACUCAUGGAGCUGAAGUCAGUCGAAGAUACCAGCUGGCUGCAACUGUUUAUUAAAAACACAGCACUGUGCAAACACGAAAGUGGACGUAUACGGUGUGACGCCUGCCCGGUGCCGGAAGGUUAAUUGAUGGGGUCAGCGCAAGCGAAGCUCCUGAUCGAAGCCCCGGUAAACGGCGGCCGUAACUAUAACGGUCCUAAGGUAGCGAAAUUCCUUGUCGGGUAAGUUCCGACCUGCACGAAUGGCGUAAUGAUGGCCAGGCUGUCUCCACCCGAGACUCAGUGAAAUUGAACUCGCUGUGAAGAUGCAGUGUACCCGCGGCAAGACGGAAAGACCCCGUGAACCUUUACUAUAGCUUGACACUGAACAUUGAGCCUUGAUGUGUAGGAUAGGUGGGAGGCUUUGAAGUGUGGACGCCAGUCUGCAUGGAGCCGACCUUGAAAUACCACCCUUUAAUGUUUGAUGUUCUAACGUGGACCCGUGAUCCGGGUUGCGGACAGUGUCUGGUGGGUAGUUUGACUGGGGCGGUCUCCUCCUAAAGAGUAACGGAGGAGCACGAAGGUUGGCUAAUCCUGGUCGGACAUCAGGAGGUUAGUGCAAUGGCAUAAGCCAGCUUGACUGCGAGCGUGACGGCGCGAGCAGGUGCGAAAGCAGGUCAUAGUGAUCCGGUGGUUCUGAAUGGAAGGGCCAUCGCUCAACGGAUAAAAGGUACUCCGGGGAUAACAGGCUGAUACCGCCCAAGAGUUCAUAUCGACGGCGGUGUUUGGCACCUCGAUGUCGGCUCAUCACAUCCUGGGGCUGAAGUAGGUCCCAAGGGUAUGGCUGUUCGCCAUUUAAAGUGGUACGCGAGCUGGGUUUAGAACGUCGUGAGACAGUUCGGUCCCUAUCUGCCGUGGGCGCUGGAGAACUGAGGGGGGCUGCUCCUAGUACGAGAGGACCGGAGUGGACGCAUCACUGGUGUUCGGGUUGUCAUGCCAAUGGCACUGCCCGGUAGCUAAAUGCGGAAGAGAUAAGUGCUGAAAGCAUCUAAGCACGAAACUUGCCCCGAG